This 274-nucleotide ribosomal RNA is filed under the name uncultured bacterium. Its description in RNAcentral is "partial 16S ribosomal RNA". It matches the Rfam family "Bacterial small subunit ribosomal RNA", at positions 523 to 796 of the family's 1533-position model. The record is from RNAcentral.
AUACGGAGGGUGCGAGCGUUGUUCGGAAUUACUGGGCGUAAAGCGCGUGCAGGUGGUUCGGAAAGUCGGGUGUGAAAUCCCCGGGCUCAACCCGGGAACUGCAUCCGAAACUUCCGAGCUAGAGUCCCGGAGAGGAAGGCAGAAUUCCCAAUGUAGGGGUGAAAUCCGUAGAUAUUGGGAGGAAUACCAGUUGCGAAGGCGGCCUUCUGGACGGUGACUGACACUCAGACGCGAAAGCGUGGGGAGCAAACAGGAUUAGAUACCCCGGUAGUCC